RNAcentral lists this small RNA (126 nucleotides) under Marmota monax (woodchuck). Lineage: Eukaryota; Metazoa; Chordata; Mammalia; Rodentia; Sciuridae. The record is from RNAcentral.
GCCAGGCAUGGUAUGCAGGCCUAUAAUCCCAGUCACUGGGGAGGCUGAGGCAGGAGGAUGGCAAGUUUGAGGCCAGCCUCAGUGACUUAAUGAGGCCCUAUGUAACUUAGCAAGACCCUGUCUCAA